This 244-nucleotide ribosomal RNA is filed under the name uncultured Actinomycetales bacterium. Its description in RNAcentral is "partial 16S ribosomal RNA". It matches the Rfam family "Bacterial small subunit ribosomal RNA", at positions 88 to 334 of the family's 1533-position model. Lineage: Bacteria; Bacillati; Actinomycetota; Actinomycetes; Actinomycetales. The record is from RNAcentral.
UACUCGAGUGGCGAACGGGUGAGUAACACGUGGGUGAUCUGCCCUGCACUCUGGGAUAAGCCUGGGAAACUGGGUCUAAUACUGGAUAUGACCUUUCUCCUUAUGGGGUUUGGUGGAAAGUUUUUCGGUGUAGGAUGAGCCCGCGGCCUAUCAGCUUGUUGGUGGGGUGAUGGCCUACCAAGGCGACGACGGGUAGCCGGCCUGAGAGGGUGAUCGGCCACAUUGGGACUGAGAUACGGCCCAG